AGCUUUUUGAAUCCGUGCUGAGAUUUCGUCAGACACCAACCCAUUAGAGCUGAUCAGAGAUCCAAGAUAAGUGAAGUU
Non-coding RNA from Schistosoma rodhaini, 78 nucleotides. NCBI's taxonomy places the organism in Eukaryota, Metazoa, Platyhelminthes, Trematoda, Strigeidida, Schistosomatidae. The record is from Rfam.